Molecule: ribosomal RNA, 469 nt
Filed under: Daphnia prolata
Lineage: Eukaryota; Metazoa; Arthropoda; Branchiopoda; Diplostraca; Daphniidae
Description: partial small subunit ribosomal RNA
Source: RNAcentral
GUGAAAUUUUUAAUUAAAAAAAAGUUCUUUUAGCGAUUUAUUGGGGGCUAAAAAGUUUAGGUGAAAAACCAGGAUUAGAUACCCUGCUAUUCUAAAUAAUGAAUUAAAUGGGGUAGUAAAAGUUGUUCUUCAAACCCAAAGAUUUUGGCGGCAUCCUAUCCUAAUAGAGGAGCUUGCCCUGUAAUUGAUAAUCCUCAUUUUAUCUUACCUCUCUUUGUUAAGUUUGUAUACCGCCGUUGUCGGAUUACUUUAAAAGAAUGUUUUCAAGAAAAGUAUUUUUUUUACUUCAGGUCAAGGUGCAGUCUAUGGAGAGGCAGAGGUGAGCUACAAUUUAUAAUAAAAAAACGGAUCUUGGGCUUAAAAACCGGGGAAGGUGGAUUUAUCAGUAAAUUUAUUUAAGUAUAAUAAGUUGAAUCGGGCAAUAGGAUGUGCACAUAUCGCCCGUCACUCUCUUCUUNAGAGGAGAUAA